Molecule: long non-coding RNA, 460 nt
Organism: Colossoma macropomum (tambaqui)
Lineage: Eukaryota; Metazoa; Chordata; Actinopteri; Characiformes; Serrasalmidae
Exons: 3
Source: RefSeq, a predicted model, not a curated record
UGGAAAUAUGACUGUGUGGUAGCUUUCUCCAGGCAUAUGAAUAUAGACUGAGUUUUGGACCAGAGAGACAUGGUUUAUGUGCAAAAGGCAGGCUAGAAUCGCUAAGAAAACUUGCUCUGCAUCAGCUCUGUGUGUGGACAAAGAGGCUCAGAAGAACUUCCAGAAUAUCCUUCAAAGCUGAAACUGAACUAGCAGUGAAACCAUUUGAUGAUUUGAUGAGGAAGGUCAACUGCUGUCAGAUCUCAGUGACCUAAAACUGCAAUGCCGUCUAUAAGAACACUCUCCUCUGUAGUGUGGACAGAGAGGACUACCAUUGACAUGUCAAAUUGAGUGGACUCCUCAGGCAAGUCGUUUAUAAAUAUAUCAAAGGGCUGACAUUAGUCCAUUCCAGCAAUUUUUUUUUUUUCUGGAAAGUCUUGACUUGUGUGUACCAUCCCUUCUUGGUCUAAAAAACCCUCUA